GAAGGUAUAGCUCAGUGGUAGAGUGCGUGCUUAGCAUGCACAAGGUCCUAGGUUCUAGCCCCAGUACCUCCA
RNAcentral lists this transfer RNA (72 nucleotides) under Camelus bactrianus (Bactrian camel). It matches the Rfam family "tRNA". From Rfam's summary of the family: Transfer RNA (tRNA) molecules are approximately 80 nucleotides in length. Their secondary structure includes four short double-helical elements and three loops (D, anti-codon, and T loops). Lineage: Eukaryota; Metazoa; Chordata; Mammalia; Artiodactyla; Camelidae. RNAcentral also lists the same sequence under 2 other names. The record is from Rfam by way of RNAcentral.